CUCUAUUUGGAAUGUCUCUUAAGAUCAAUACUCACCAGUUUUAAUGGUCUUCUUGCUCAUUCAAGACCUCAAGGGAAGAAUUCAGUUAUGGGGACAUGGUAUUGCAGUAGACUGGGCAGAGCCAGAAGUAGAAGUUGAUGAAGAUACAAUGUCUUCAGUGAAAAUCCUAUAUGUAAGAAAUCUUAUGCUGUCUACCUCUGAAGAGAUGAUUGAAAAGGAAUUCAACAAUAUCAAACCAGGUGCUGUGGAGAGGGUGAAGAAAAUUCGAGACUAUGCUUUUGUGCACUUCAGUAACCGAGAAGAUGCAGUUGAGGCUAUGAAAGCUUUAAAUGGCAAGGUGCUGGAUGGUUCCCCCAUUGAAGUCACCCUAGCAAAACCAGUGGACAAGGACAGUUAUGUUAGGUAUACCCGAGGCACAGGUGGAAGGGGCACCAUGCUGCAAGGAGAGUAUACCUACUCUUUGGGCCAAGUUUAUGAUCCUACCACAACCUACCUUGGAGCUCCUGUCUUCUAUGCCCCCCAGACCUAUGCAGCAAUUCCCAAUCUUCAUUUCCCAGACACCAAAGGACAUCUCAGCAACAGAGCCAUUAUCCGAGCCCCUUCUGUUAGAGGGGCUGCGGGAGUGAGAGGACUGGGCGGCCGUGGCUAUUUGGCAUACACAGGCCUGGGUCGAGGAUACCAGGUCAAAGGAGACAAAAGAGAAGACAAACUCUAUGACAUUUUACCUGGGAUGGAGCUCACCCCAAUGAAUCCUGUCACGUUAAAACCCCAAGGAAUUAAACUCGCUCCCCAGAUAUUAGAAGAGAUUUGUCAGAAAAAUAACUGGGGACAGCCAGUGUACCAGCUGCACUCUGCUAUUGGACAAGACCAAAGACAGCUAUUCUUGUACAAAAUAACUAUUCCUGCUCUAGCCAGCCAGAAUCCUG
Molecule: small RNA, 926 nt
Filed under: Pan troglodytes (chimpanzee)
Lineage: Eukaryota; Metazoa; Chordata; Mammalia; Primates; Hominidae
Description: processed transcript
Source: RNAcentral